GGAGAGGUGCCAGAGUGGACGAUUGGGGCGGUCUCGAAAACCGUUGUGGCUUUUGGGUCACCGUGGGUUCGAAUCCCACCCUCUCCG
RNAcentral lists this transfer RNA (87 nucleotides) under Anaerolineae bacterium. RNAcentral's name for it is "tRNA-Ser". It matches the Rfam family "tRNA". Rfam says of the family: Transfer RNA (tRNA) molecules are approximately 80 nucleotides in length. Lineage: Bacteria; Bacillati; Chloroflexota; Anaerolineae. RNAcentral also lists the same sequence under 1 other name. The record is from RNAcentral.